Molecule: ribosomal RNA, 258 nt
Filed under: uncultured bacterium
Lineage: Bacteria
Description: partial 16S ribosomal RNA
Rfam family: Bacterial small subunit ribosomal RNA
Source: RNAcentral
UGGCGGACGGGUGAGUAACGCGUGGGCAACCUGCCCUGCACCGGGGGAUAACACUUAGAAAUAGGUGCUAAUACCGCAUAAGCGCACAGAGCCGCAUGGCUCAGUGUGAAAAACUCCGGUGGUGCAAGAUGGACCCGCGUCUGAUUAGCUGGUUGGCGGGGUAACGGCCCACCAAGGCGACGAUCAGUAGCCGGCCUGAGAGGGUGAACGGCCACAUUGGGACUGAGACACGGCCCAAACUCCUACGGGAGGCAGCAG